Molecule: long non-coding RNA, 1305 nt
Organism: Lathyrus oleraceus (garden pea)
Lineage: Eukaryota; Viridiplantae; Streptophyta; Magnoliopsida; Fabales; Fabaceae
Exons: 4
Source: RefSeq, a predicted model, not a curated record
GCAACUUGUUCCAAUUGGGAAAAUUCUGCAGAAGUUGCUUCUAAGUAUCAAAGGCAAAAGAUCCAAAUUCACACAUAAACAUGCUUACACUAAUCCAUUUUUGUUUAACUAUAAUUAAAUUUGGAUUAAGUAUUCCAUAUAUAAGGUUAAUCUAACAGAAUUUUGCAGGUUGGUUAAUCAUUUUCCAGAGCAUAACAGAAAAUCCCAAGCCAUUCUCUCAUUCUUCUCCCAUUUUACCAAAAAAUUUUGAUAGCACUUUCUCAUCAAUUAAGCAUUUUUCUACUAAUCUUUGUACAAUUCCAUGGUGAAUUCAUCAUCUACAGGUGCUGUAUAGUUUCUGUUUGCAGGAAUUGAUUGGAAAAUCCGGCAAUCUCGCGACUGUCGUGAAGAUGCUCAUCCAUGGCAGUUAAGGAAAUCUGAUGAUGCAAGCGUUCUUGAGCUGGAUUCUUUUCACCUAUCACCUUCCACGACGAUUGGCUAUAUCUGUUUCGCCAUUGGAGCCCCUGCAAAUCGCCGAAGCUAUCACUGCAUUCAAGAAGGUACCCUUUAGUCGCUCAGUUCUCUUAAGAACUUGCAUUGCUUUGCUUAUAAGCAAUUGGCAUUGAGGGAGCAGCUGCACUGGUUAGCCUAUACAGAUACCUUGGAGAUGCGUCCAUGUUCAGUUGCAAACAACUCGGUGGAUAUCCUACUCUCCUACAGUGAUGGAUUCACGAGUACUUUCCAACUGUUGGAAAAAGAGGAGAGAAUUGGAAACCAGCUGAUAAUUGUGGUCUUCCUCGAGCGAUGAGAUGGUCCUAUAGGCAAGGAGUCCUGAAGGUGGAUAAUUUACGACCUAUUUUGGACGAGCUGACACUUGCCGGCAUCAUAUGGCAUCCAUUUGAGGAUCAUAGAGGAUGUCAUCACUUUGAUGAGUUAUGUCUGUACAGGGGGUGUUUGAAGUGGGGUGACACAGUUGUUCCAUACUUGUGUGACAGAUGUUUACGUCAGUUCGGGUACAAGCAGUAUGUUCCAUCCCCACCUCUUGAUUGUAUAAUGUCGACGGAUAUUAAUGUUGAUUGGAUUGGUUACCAUCAGAGCGUUAUUGUUGUGAUAUGUCCAACUACCCUGGCCAUCACUCUAUCUGAUAUAGAAAAUGGUUAUCUGGAAUGGUAUUAUUGUGUUUCGCAUCCACGUUUGGUCCCCACCCAUCGUGACGAACCAAGAGAGGUACCAGUUCCUGUUUAUGACGCAGGACCAUUUGAUCCUUAUUGGGCUCGUGUAUCUACAUUGACUCAUCGUUAUCUAAGACAGGUUAAUGCCGAAUAG